Molecule: long non-coding RNA, 1930 nt
Organism: Cornus florida
Lineage: Eukaryota; Viridiplantae; Streptophyta; Magnoliopsida; Cornales; Cornaceae
Exons: 2
Source: RefSeq, a predicted model, not a curated record
AGUGCAAUAGAUGCGUUUGGCUUGCAAGAAAUUCUAGAUAGGAGAGCUGAAAUUACAGAGAAAGAACAAAUGGGAUUACGAUUCGAGUCAAGGAUGAUCCGUCGUCCCCAAUUAUGGGACCAGAAAGAUGUGAUCGAUCCGUCCCCAAUUUUUGAUUUUACAAGGCAAUUGACUACAGUACAGGUCUGAGGUGCAGCAGAGAUUUCCAUGUCCAGACAUUUGCAAGAAUGGUGAUUACGAGAAUACCCAAGGCUGUCACGUUCAUUAGAAUUUCUUUGUCAUCCAUGGUUCCUAAAGAAGGCAUAAAAUUACCUAUUGCUGUACACAUCAAAGUGGUGCUGCUAAGUUUUGCCAACUGAUCCGUUUUGUCUGGCAUGUUGGUACUUAGAUCCAUGGGCAGCUUCAUUGCUAUAGCUAAUAUUGUCAGAGAAGCGGCAUUGAGAGUGAAAAAUUUGUAUGGAAACCACAGUUUAUUGUGGCGGAACCCAAGGAAGGCAUCCACAGCCAUUGCUACGGAACAGAAUAGAGAUGCUACUGCAACAUAGAUCCCGACCCAUGGCAUGGGUGCUUUGUUUUUCAUUUCUUGUAAUUCCUGCUUAAUUUCAUAGGGCACGAAAGGCGUGUUGAUGUUCUUCUUUCUGAGAAGGCUAGAGAUCGGGUUGUAGUUGUUGAUUGUGCUGAUACUGCUAUUUAUAAACCGAACUAAGUGUCGUGGAUUAACUGUUUCUACCAUUUUUCCUUGAAGCCACCCGGAAUGCAAUUGGUUUUGCAUUUUUCAAGUCAAUUAGAGUUUUUUGAUUGUGAAGGUUCUGAGAAGGAAUAUUAAAGGUAUGAACGAUUUCUGCUAUUUUUCCACAAAGCUAUUGGGAAUGUGAGCAUUUCACACUCAUGAGUCAAUGAGAGGAAGACUAAUGAAAAAUCAAAGAGGACCCCUUGUCUUUUUAAAAGUUUGUGUUGAUAGGGAGAAAAAAUACUUUUCUGAUGCUUGCCAACUUAAAAAAGAAAAAAGAAAAGAAAAAGAGUGAUCAUGGUGUCAUGGUAAUGCAUAUAGCUCACAUCAAAGUUAAAAGUAAGGGUGCUAUCUGUUGGGAAUUUUUUAAUAAAAAUCUAAUUCAAUUAUAUUAUAUUUAUGGUGAUUUAUUGUGACUAUUUUUUUCACUAUUUAAAUUGUAUUUAAGGCGGAUAUUUGUUCAACCAUAAAAUCGCAUGCGGAUAUUAGGCUGCGUACAUCUAUCAAUCCAAACUCUGCAGCCAUGAGAGUCUGGUGUAGUGAGUUAGCCUUUUUAGUUACACAUGAAUACUUCAUAUAUAAAGCCUCCACCAUCUUUCAGAGGACUAAAGUUUAUAUACUUCCCUAGCAACUUUGUAUUCUAUAUAUAUGUGUGUACAUAUCCAUUUAUCUGCUGUUAUUUCAUGUGUUUAUGAGUUAUGACCAAUGAGAAGUCUGAAUGUGCUGAAGAGAGGACAUGGCCUACAACCACUGGGUGUAUUUUGGACUUCGGAGUCGGAACUUCCAUCUCAAAGAGAGGAGCCUGCGAGCACUUGGUUUGUAUUUUGGAGUCGGUACUCCCCCCAUUACCUACACAUGGGAAGGAAGUUUGAAUUUUAGGACAGUGCACGUCUCAAUCUUAAAGGUCAAUUUCUUACCUUUAUCAAAUAUUUCUAUUUUUGUACUUCCGAAAAUAUAUAUAUAUAUAUAUAUAUAUAUAUAUAUAUAUAUAUAUAUAUAUGUCUAUUUUUGUGUUCUUUCAUUUUAGUUUGUUAUUAUUAUUUCCAUUAUUUUAUAAAUUGUGAACCUCGUUAAUUGUACCUCUGAAGUUCAAGUUCUCCUAAAAUCAUGUAUAUGAUACUCAUUCAAUUUAUAAUUGUACCUAAAUGUUACAUUCUUGUUAUUUGCACUUUUUAGGUUCAAUUAAUUUUUUGUCGUAAA